This 463-nucleotide ribosomal RNA is filed under the name uncultured swine feces bacterium F17. RNAcentral describes it as "bacterial SSU rRNA". It matches the Rfam family "Bacterial small subunit ribosomal RNA", at positions 7 to 499 of the family's 1533-position model. The record is from RNAcentral.
GAGAGUUUGAUCCUGGCUCAGGAUGAACGCUGGCGGCGUGCCUAACACAUGCAAGUCGAGCGAUUCUCUUUGGAGAAGAGCGGCGGACGGGUGAGUAACGCGUGGGUAACCUGCCCUGUACACACGGAUAACAUACCGAAAGGUAUGCUAAUACGGGAUAACAUAAGAAAUUCGCAUGUUUUUCUUAUCAAAGCUCCGGCGGUACAGGAUGGACCCGCGUCUGAUUAGCUAGUUGGUGAGGUAACGGCUCACCAAGGCCACGAUCAGUAGCCGACCUGAGAGGGUGAUCGGCCACAUUGGAACUGAGACACGGUCCAAACUCCUACGGGAGGCAGCAGUGGGGAAUAUUGCACAAUGGGCGAAAGCCUGAUGCAGCAACGCCGCGUGAGCGAUGAAGGCCUUCGGGUGUAAAGCUCUGUCCUCAAGGAAGAUUAAUGACGUACUUGAGGAGAAGCCCGGCUUA